RNAcentral lists this non-coding RNA (30 nucleotides) under Rattus norvegicus (Norway rat). The record is from RNAcentral. Lineage: Eukaryota; Metazoa; Chordata; Mammalia; Rodentia; Muridae.
AGAAAAGAAUGAUGGAAGGCUGUUUUACAU